CACAAACCUUGUUCUCCAAAGACAGGUCUCCACUGCAGUCACUCUGAUGCCUGCAACUUGUGUAGACACACCUGAACUAGCUUUGAGCUGGUCUGGGUCCCAAUAGCCAUUCAGCUGUGAUAUUUGGCAUAGACUGAGUAUUCAGGUAGCUUCUCCUUUUGGAGCCCUACGUUGUUGCAGCUACACUGCUAGGAAUAUCUUCAGCUUAAAGCUGGAUCAGUCAUGUCUACACAACGCACGGGCUCAGUAACAUGUAGACCUGCCCCGAGCAGACUGCACGCUUCUCUGACCUGUCAUCUCUCAGAGGAGCACAGAGCAGCUUGUACAUGCAAAAAUAAAAAGAAAAGCCAUAUCAAAACAGUGCUGUCUCUAGGGAGAGGAGAAGAGAAAGAACCAACUCCAUGUAAUGAAUGUUAGUGCCGUCACUCAGCACGCCAAUGGAAAGCACUCAGGUCCCUGACUGGCGAGGAACCCAUAAGGACCUGUAUAGGCCAGUAUGGUAUUGUAUAUUAUUUAAUUUUUACACACCAGUUCUAUUGUGUCUGAACAUAUUUUGCAUCUUUUUCCUCCUCCUUUCCUAAAUGGAAUCCCCAACAGAUUGAAGGCUUGGAAGGAAAAGAGAAAGAAAGACAGAAAGAGUGCUCCAAGGAUCUUCCUAAAGUAGCUCUCACCAUUAUAGCAUGCCAGAAGAGAUUACUCUUGUCGAGGACAUCUGCUCGGUCAGUACAUCGUUGAAGCCAGGAUGGAACAGCCAGGGUUGAGGAAUCGGGUCAGCAACUAAGCUCAGAGAUGGACGAUGUUACUAGCAGGGCCAGAAGCCAAAUACAACAGGACAAGGCCCUCCUGUGCAGCUCCUUUCCUUCUUGUCGCCAUAGUGAUGCUGGGAAUGGAGACCCUGCACUCACUGACCUAGAUCGCCAUCGCCUUCUGCACGGCACACCCACCUCGUCCCUCUUCUCAGGACCAUCGAUCCAGCAUAGGCUCCAGUUCGCUGCCCCGCUGGCCCCUCCAGCCUGUCUUCCUAAUUAUCCUCCGAGGCCUUCUGCCCAGCCCUCCGCUUGCUUGGUCUCACUGCGCAGGUAAGUUUUGCUGCCUGUGUUGCUCUUUGGGUUUCCCGUGGCGGGGCAUACUUGCUGCCCCGUCACACAGUUAUUUAGUACUUGCAUAACCAA
This 1172-nucleotide long non-coding RNA is filed under the name Crocodylus porosus (Australian saltwater crocodile). RNAcentral's name for it is "lncRNA (ENSCPRG00005011552.1)". The record is from RNAcentral. Lineage: Eukaryota; Metazoa; Chordata; Crocodylia; Crocodylidae.